RNAcentral lists this small nucleolar RNA (98 nucleotides) under Nicotiana attenuata. RNAcentral describes it as "snoRNA Plant_U3". It matches the Rfam family "Plant small nucleolar RNA U3", at positions 1 to 99 of the family's 221-position model. Rfam says of the family: Small nucleolar RNAs (snoRNAs) are involved in the processing and modification of rRNA in the nucleolus. There are two main classes of snoRNAs: the box C/D class, and the box H/ACA class. U3 snoRNA is a member of the box C/D class. Lineage: Eukaryota; Viridiplantae; Streptophyta; Magnoliopsida; Solanales; Solanaceae. The record is from Rfam by way of RNAcentral.
GCGACCUUACUUGAACAAGAUCUGCUCUAUAGGAUCGUAUCACUGUAUCCUUGAGUUCUAAGGAGAUAGGAACUAAGCCUGGUUGAUGAGUUCUGGCC